GUUCCACACAUUCCCAGGUUUUUGUGGAUAUAAACACUUCCUGAUAUCAGAGUACCUUCAGCUAAGUCAUUCCUGCAGCUCCUUCCUUCAGUUUACAGUGCUCACCCUGAGAUCGCCACAGUAAUUCUAAACUACAUUAAUCUCCUUUAUAAAUGUGAAAUUCCAAUCAGAUCACUCUCUGGUCCUCUCUUUCUGAUCCUGAACGGAUUAACCGUCUCGUUUCUACAAGAUUGAGUUGGAUACACAAUGCAAAAGACACAGAGCUCCUUCUCAGUGAGAAGUUAGUUGUCACACUGUACUUAAUUUUAUAAAAGGGAAUUUGUCUAUUCUGUUUGUUCAUACUGCUAAAGGUUGAUUGAUUGCACUGAAACUACAACUGAGGCAACUUUUCACAUGGCAGUUAGUGAGAAUCCAGAAGCAAACAUCAUUUCAAGCCCAAACUUGAACGAUUACAGGAAAUUACAAUUCAUCAAACCUCAGAGUUCCUCUCAGGAAAUUCCCACUAAAAUACCAGCUGUGUCUUUCCCUUCUACGAAACAACAACUUUGAUUCCAACCAAUCCGCUGCACUGAAACUGCCCUCCUCUCAGUCCCUCUCCGGGCAGCUCCACCCUCACCCUCCUGGGCCUGCCUGCUGUGUUCAGUACUGUCAGUCACUUUGAGACAGUGAGGCUUUCUGACCAAUCACCUUGAGACAGUGAGGCUUUCUGACCAAUCACCUUGAGACAGUGAGGCUUUCUGACCAAUCUCCUUGAGACAGUGAGGCUUUCUGACCAAUCACCUUGAGACAGUGAGGCUUUCUGUCCAAUCACCUUGAGACAGUGAGGCUUUCUGACCAAUCACCUUGAGACAGUGAGGCUUUCUGACCAAUCACCUUGAGACAGUGAGGCCUUCUGACCAAUCACCUUGAGACAGUGAGGCUUUCUGACCAAUCACCUUGAGACAGUGUGGCUUUCUGACCAAUCACCUUGAGACAGUGGUUUGAAAGGGCUAAAAGACUCAUGAACAGACUGAGGGUGAUGAUGUGGUUUCUCAGACAGGUCUGUGUGCUGUAGCUGUAAAUGGCUCAGGUACAGUACAGUGUGAGAGUGGAUCGUAUGGUGACCAGUAGAAUAUCUGUGUUUGAUUAAAUCUUCCAAAAGGAGCAGAAGAGGCCACACACAGGGCCACACACAGGGGGACACACAGGGCCACACACAGGGCCAUGCAGAGGGCCACACACAGGGCCACACACAGGGACACACACAGGGCCAGCGUACAGUGUGCAGUGUGCUAUAUUUAAAGCUCCCUCCGCUGUUAUGGGCACUCACUUAGGACACCAGCUUCUGGAACAAUCCCUGCAUAUCUUCACUAGGCCAACUGAUCAAUCAGAGUUCUGUUACAUCAUUCAGCCACAUACGAAUCGCUUUAAGAUAACGCUUUGUUCUCUGUGUUUGGGUCUAUUUAAUAUCAAGCAUGCGACUAAGGUCACAUGACUCACAGUCAAGAUUAGUGAUUGGCUUGCCAUAUGGACUGACAUAUAGUGCGCUCCAAAAGGAUGGCAACAGUAGAAUUAAAUUUGUUAUUAAGCUUUUCUACAAUGUUCUCCUGCUGUAUGUGUGUGUUAAUGUUCUAUCUCUGUGUGUGGUAAUAUUCUACUUCUGUAUGUGUGUGUGUUAAUGUUCUCCCCCUGUGUGUGUGUUAAUGUUCUCGCUCUAUAUGUCUGUGUUAAUAUUCUCCCUCUGUACGUGUGUGUUAAUGUUCUACUUCUGUAUGUGUGUUAAUGUUCUCCCUCUGUAUGUGUGUGUUAAUGUUCUACCUCUGUAUGUGUGUGUUAAAUUUCUCCCUCUAUAUGUGUAUCCUAAUGUUCUACUUAUUUAUGUGUGUGUUAAUGUGCUACUUCUCUACUGGUCGCCGGAGAGCGACAUAAUCAUUGGCUGCUGUUUCCUCCACGGGUCACCAGAGGGCGACGUCAUCAUAUUUUGUGUUCUUUUGACUUACUGAUUUCACCUGUGUUGAUUUGUGAUUCUUUGCACCUGUGUUCUUCCCUAUAUUAGUUCUCCCUUCGGUUGUGUUCAUUGCUUAGUCUUGAGUUUGCCUGCCUCUGUGUAAGUCUCGAGUAAAAAUCUGGAUUGCCGGAAAUGAAGCCUGCAUCAAAACUUUUCUUUGGAAAAGUCCACUUUGUUUGUCAAGCCUGCUCUUGUUCUCUGCUCUUGAUUCUACGCUCCUAGUCAAGUGGGUUGGUGAUUAGUACACAGGACUCCCAACCAAGAGACCUGGGUUCAAGCUUCUGUCAGGGAACCAUCCGUAACAACUUCUUUAUGUGUGUGUUAAUCUCCCUCUCAGUGUACCACAGUGGGAAAGGAACUGGGCUUGUUACCAAAGGACACUGUCGUUGUACCCUUGUGCAAGCUCUGUAACUGUCUCAGAAGAUCUUCUUCGUCUUCUCCUCUCAGUGCUGCAACCAAUGAGGGAAACAUGGUCAGAGAAGGAACAUAAUACUGCUGGUAUAAGAACACUGAUGCUGCUGGUGUAAGAACAUUAAUACUGCUGGUAUAAGAACAUUAAUGCUGCUGGU
This is a long non-coding RNA of Anguilla rostrata (American eel), 2556 nucleotides long. RefSeq lists it as uncharacterized. NCBI's taxonomy places the organism in Eukaryota, Metazoa, Chordata, Actinopteri, Anguilliformes, Anguillidae. The transcript is spliced from 3 exons. The record is from RefSeq and is a predicted model, not a curated record.